RNAcentral lists this ribosomal RNA (458 nucleotides) under Enterococcus alishanensis. RNAcentral describes it as "bacterial SSU rRNA". It matches the Rfam family "Bacterial small subunit ribosomal RNA", at positions 330 to 803 of the family's 1533-position model. Lineage: Bacteria; Bacillati; Bacillota; Bacilli; Lactobacillales; Enterococcaceae. The record is from RNAcentral.
UCCGGAGACCUACGGGUGGCAGCAAUGGGGAAUAUUGGGCAAUGGGCGAAAGCCUGACCCAGCAACGCCGCGUGAAGGAAGAAGGCCUUCGGGUUGUAAACUUCUUUUAAGAGGGACGAAGAAGUGACGGUACCUCUUGAAUAAGCCACGGCUAACUACGUGCCAGCAGCCGCGGUAAUACGUAGGGAGCAAGCGUUGUCCGGAUUUACUGGGUGUAAAGGGUGCGUAGGCGGGAAUGCAAGUCAGAUGUGAAAUCCAGGGGCUUAACCCUUGAACUGCAUUUGAAACUGUAUUUCUUGAGUGUCGGAGAGGUUGACGGAAUUCCUAGUGUAGCGGUGAAAUGCGUAGAUAUUAGGAGGAACACCAGUGGCGAAGGCGGUCAACUGGACGAUAACUGACGCUGAGGCGCGAAAGCGUGGGGAGCAAACAGGAUUAGAUACCCCGGUAGUCUAAGAUUA